UACGUAGGGGGCAAGCGUUGUCCGGAUUUAUUGGGCGUAAAGCGCUCGCAGGUGGUCCGAUGCGUCGUGCGUGAAAGCCCCCGGCUCAACCGGGGAGGGUCGUCGGGGACGGCGGGACUUGAGGGCGGUAGGGGCCGGUGGAAUCCCUGGUGUAGUGGUGAAAUGCGUAGAUAUCCGGAGGAACACCGAUGGCGAAGGCAACUGCCUGGGCCUGAUCUGACACUGAGGCACGAAAGCGUGGGUAGCAAACAGG
This 253-nucleotide ribosomal RNA is filed under the name uncultured bacterium. RNAcentral describes it as "partial 16S ribosomal RNA". It matches the Rfam family "Bacterial small subunit ribosomal RNA", at positions 524 to 776 of the family's 1533-position model. The record is from RNAcentral.